ACUGCCUGUGAUCUCUGAAACCAGCUCUGGGGCUCCCUCUUUGCUCCAAUAGACAGGAGCGACUUUGGGCUACAUAAUCAUCAAAUUCUUACCUCGCCCUUCACUGCUAGUAGGAUCAGAUUACAUUUCUUUCACUAUUCUCCACUCCCCAGUUUCUUGAUCUGUUUAAAAGAAGUAGAAAAGAUAAAUCUUCUCUUCAGUGCCUGGAAGGGAAAACAAAAUAACCUCAACUCCGCUUUGAAAAAAAUCUUUCCAAGAACUUUCUUCAGAGAUUUGACUCAAAUAAUUUCUACAAUGAAGAAAGAACAGAUUUUUUGGACUUCUGUGUAUCUGCUGCUUAACUGUGCUUCUGCCCCUCUUAGUGCUGUCGCCGAGGAUGCUGAGGAAUAUACAGAUGUCACAGAUGAUGGGUUACCACCACUGAAACUUGCACAUUCAUUUUGUGCUUUGAAAGCAGAUAAUGGCCCAUGCAGAGCAAUCCUUACGAAAUUUUUUUUCAAUAUUCACACUCAACAGUGUGAAGAAUUUAUAUAUGGAGGAUGUGAAGGAAAUCAGAAUCGCUUUGAAAGCCUGGAAGAGUGCGAAGAAAAAUGUAUAGGAGAUUAUGUAAAGACCAGGACAGAGACCACAUUAGAAAAAGAAAAGCCAGAGUUCUGCUUUUUGGAUGAAGACAGUGGAAUCUGUCGAGGUUAUAUGACUAGGUAUUUUUAUAGCAAUGACACAAAGCAGUGUGAACGUUUCAAGUAUGGUGGGUGCCUUGGCAAUCAAAACAACUUUGAAUCACUUGAGGAAUGCAAGAACACCUGUGAAGAUGCAGUGAAUGAUAACCAGCUGGAUAUGAUUGUGAAUAAUACAUUACUGUCUGAGACUACGGAGAGUAUAUUACCACUUUAUUCUACAACUAAUAUGUUACUGCCUGAAUCUGUGAAUAGUACAUUACCGCUUGAUUCUGUGAAUAAUGACUCCUUCACUCCCCAGCCUACCAACGUCCCUAGCUUUUUUGAUAUCAAAGUCUGGAUUUUGAGUAGAAUUUUACGGUCCUUCCUGGUGUCUGACCCCAGCAGACAGAGGAUUGUGUCAAGCCAAUGUGAGCCGAUUCUACUAUAAUUCAGUUAUUGGGAAAUGCCGCCCAUUUAAAUACAGUGGAUGUGGAGGGAAUGAAAAUAAUUUUACUUCUAAAAAUGCAUGUCUUAGGACUUGUAAAAAAGGCUUCAUCCAAAGAACAUCAAAAGGAGGAUUAAUUAAAACUAAAAGAAAAAGAAAGAAGCAGACAGUGAAAAUAGGAUAUGAAAAAAUUUUUGUUAAAAAAAUAUAAAUUUGGGGGCACCUGAGUGGCUCAGUCUGUUAAGCGUCUGAUUCUUGCUCUUGGCUAGGUCAUGAUUUCAUGGUUGGGGAGAUUGAGCCCCACCUUGGGCUCUGUGGGUCAGGUUCUGUGCUGACAGCAUGGAGCCUGCUUGGGAUUUUCUCUGCCCUCCCCCACUCACAUACUCUCUUUUUCUCUAAAUAAAUAAAUAAACAAAAUAAAUAAAUAAAUAAAUCUUACAUUGUUACAUUAAUUCUAAAUAUUUUGCAUGAAACUUUUCACUAUAAUUUUUAUUUUUUUUUCCUGAAAUCCUUUUAAUGAAUAUUUCCAUCAAUUUUCUAUGUACAAGUUAACUGCUAUUAAUACAUUUUUACCAGAAUUCAUUUCUUAAUCUAGUCAAAUUGCUUACUCAAGGACAAUGAUUUAUUAACUGGCUACUGUGAAUUUACCUAUUCUCUCAAUUCCUUUAUAUUUUUCAUUAACUACAAGCUAUCAUUUACUGGCCACAUCAAGACAGUCCAUUUUUCCAGUUGGUGAUUCUCUGUUUGAGAAUAUGUUGUCAUUUAUUUGUUUUGAUCAUGUGUAUGAUGAUCUUUAUAGUCUAUGCCCAAAUUGAUAAAUGCAGAUAUUAAGGAUCAAGCACUUUUUGGAUUUCACAUCAAACAUGGUGACAAGCAUUUGCUUCUAUAAGGAUCACUCAACUGUGCGAAAGCUGGUAAUACAAUUCUAUUAUGUGCUUCCCUCCAUAGACAUAAUUUUUCUCCUUUCUUAUAAACCAGUACCUCAAUCAAUCUUGAGCCAUACCAUUAUCUGAACAAAGAGAGUCAACUCUAUCAUGUGCCUGCCUGAUUUUGAUUGAUCUAACUAUUUUGUGUAUGUAUGUGUGCUUAUGACUCACUAUAUUAGUAAAAAUGGUUGAAUAGUGUUAUGUUAAGUACAGGUCAUGGUAAGAAGAAACUUGGUGGAAAGGAAAGUUUUUAAUGGCAAUCAAAAGUGAAUUGUGUUUAUAUACUUCCUAAUUUUAUUGUUUAACAAAAUUUUCUCUUACCCCAAAUAGCAAGAAUACUGAAUCCUACUGAAACUUAUUCAUUUAUCAUUAAGCUUUGCAUGCAAUGCAACCAAUAAGUAAGUCAUGGGGGAAGUAAGCUUCAGGGGGAAGAAAAAGUCAUGUUAUUUAUGUAGAAAAGGAAGGUCUACUACUGAAAAGUCUAUCAGCAAGGAAGAUUCCACUAGAAAAAUCUAUGUACUAUUCACUCUCAGGGUUUUAAAUAAUCUCUCCGUGGAGUUAAUUCACUUUAACCAGAUCCUUUUCUGCUGAUCUAUGUGCAGUCUGGCAUCUCAACAGACUCCUAGACAUUUCAGUUCCUAUAAUAUUCACGUCAAACUUUGCAUUUAAAUUUGAACUUGUCAUCUAGAAACAACUAAUCACUUCAUCCGCUUAGUUUAGCUUUAUGAUUUCUCUCUAGCAAUAGUAUUAUAAUUCUCUGUUCCUCUGACUUGAAAGUUUGACCCCAGUUUUGACUUUUUUCUCAUGUACAUAUCUGAUCAGUCUCUAAACACUAGUGCUUCCUUUUUCAUAAAGUUCAUCCAACUCCAGGGUUUUUGCCCCUACUGCAUUCUUCACAUCAGUAUUGAUUUAAUUCCUAAGAAUUAAUUCCUUAGAGCAUAUUUCUCCACCACUCAAAAUCCAUCAAGGACUCACUAGUUGGUACUUAACCCCACCCAUCCCCCACAAUUUUAUUUUGUUCUAUAUAUAUUACACUACUGCCCUCUUUCAUGACUAUUUCAAUUUAAUUAAGGGUAUAUACUGUUCACUAAAUACUCUUUAGUCAGCUUAUUCAUGCUGAUUUCCUACUUAAAAAUAUUAUCUUUUCCAGACUAUCCAUGUGAAGUCAGGGUUCAGCUGAUGUGAGCCAUAAAAUUACUCUGUUUUGUGGCUGAAUAUGAAGUACUAAGAUACAAUUACAAAUUACUUUCAUCCUAAAGCAUAAAAAUUAUAUUAUAAAAUAGUGUCAAUUUUUUUCACUUAAAAAUUUUAUAUCUUGAUUUCAAAUAUAAUAUAUACAUAAGUAACUGCCUUAGACUGGAUCUUUGUGUGGAAUUUGAGACUUGGAAAUCAAAAUCCCUGUGAAAUAUGCUUUGUAUCAUUAUACAUGGAGAGUAAUAACUUUAAAUAAACAAUAUGGUCUCCUAAGUUAACCUAUCUGCCACCAAGAACAUAGAAGUAGCACAUUAGUGAGUUGACGGUUUUCUCCAACAAUCAUUCACAGGUUCAUUACUUAACCAAGAAAUACUCACACUCAGAUGAUUUCUAAUUUUUAAUGCAUGAGAACAUUAUUUUUACUGUGUUUUAAAUAAGAAGCUCUCUGGUUGUAUUGUCUUACUUUGUGUUACAUAAUUAAAUACAUCUAACUGUGAAUUUUAUAUAGAAUUACUUUAUACAGCAUUUAUAUGUAUUUACCUACUUAGUUUUCUCUCUGUUCAAAAUUAAUGAAUCAUGCUGAAAACUGCCCAAAUGAUUUUAGUGUUUACAUUAUAAUAAAUAAAAUAUUCUGAAU
Molecule: RNA transcript, 3861 nt
Organism: Acinonyx jubatus (cheetah)
Lineage: Eukaryota; Metazoa; Chordata; Mammalia; Carnivora; Felidae
Gene: TFPI
Gene name: tissue factor pathway inhibitor
Exons: 9
Source: RefSeq, a predicted model, not a curated record